Long non-coding RNA from Dicentrarchus labrax (European seabass), 1298 nucleotides. RefSeq lists it as uncharacterized. The record is from RefSeq and is a predicted model, not a curated record. The transcript has 2 exons. Lineage: Eukaryota; Metazoa; Chordata; Actinopteri; Moronidae.
AGCCUCUGUAGCUAGCUGUGUGUGUGUGUGUGUGUGUGUGUGUGUGUGUGUGAGCAGGCUUUGGUUGUCAUGGCAAUCAGGGGAGCCCACAGCAGCUGCGCACGCUCUCUCUGUCUCUAACUCCUCAGAGAGACAGAAAACAUUUAAAAUGAAUCCCCUCAAAAGCAUGGCCAGGAACGACCGAAAUGAAAACCGAAAAGACCGUGAGCGUCGUCAUCUUGUUGACUGUAGCACUGCCGAGUUUCAGUGGCUAAAGUUAAAAAAUGUGACCUGGGGAGAUUGAGAGAGAAGAGGUUCAACGAGCGUUUUUCAGGAUUCCUCCUCUAAAAUUAACAUGGGAGUAGAUGGGGCCGUGAGAGGGCGUUGCUGGCGCAUCAGUGCGUUUCCCGCCAAAACUAUUUGUCUGACAGCUUCAGCAGUAGUAUCACUGCGACCCCAACGAAUUUACCUACGUUUCUAUCUAUAAAUUAUUUCUGUAGAGUGAAAUUUGUGGCCAUGACAGCAGUUUACAAAUUUAUUUUUCGACAAAUUUUUCUCUCUCCCCACACUCUAGCGAUGAUGUCACGCACUCUGGCGGUUUUUUUCAGUUGGAGGUUCUCGCAAUACACACCCAUUCAUUUUUUGGACCGGUUUUUGGCGAUUUACCGGCAAACCGUUUGGCGAAAUUCUUAGAAAAGUCAUAGCACACCAUUCCCGGCCGAGCCGCACGUUUUGAUACCUUAUUUGUGUAUGUGCGACAAAAGCUGCGGGAGAAGAAGCGCGCCGAAAAACGUACGGAAGAAUAAUAAUAACUAGAAAAUUCCUAAAGCAAUUUUGAUUGUGCCUUGCUCUGGCCCAUAUGUUAAUACCAUGUCUUGCUCUCUAGCACGCUAGCGCUAGCAUAUUAAUACCAUGUAAUUCUCUUUAGCUAGAGCUAGCACACAUAAACACAUUAACCAAAGGUAGCGCUUAGCUACGUGCUAAUCGCUAGCUAAGCGCUAAUCGCUAGCUACGUGCUAAUCGCUAGCUAAGCGCUAAUCGCUAGCUACAUGCUAAUCGCUAGCUAACCGCUAAUCGCUAGCUACAUGCUAAUCGCUAGCUACAUGCUAAUCGCUAGCUAAGCGCUAAUCGCUAGCUGUGCGCUAAUCGCUAGCCGUGCGCUAAUCGCUAGCUAAGUGCUAGCUUUGGUUAAUGUGUUUAAUUGUAUUAUGCUCCUGAAGGAGUGCUAAUGUAAAUUAAGGAACAGCUCAUAGUAGGGUAAAAUAUUUAAGGUGUAUUGUUCUUAUUUUGUGUUAAUAUUAAAAUCAUUCAGCUUUAAA